GCUAUGACGACGGGUUGGGCGCGCUAGCGUUUCCUGGAGAUGCCGAGGUCGGCAGCAGAGCCGGGAGGGGCGAACUGAGUCCCCACUCGGAGGCCCCCCCCACACACACCGACCACGUAGAGGAGGCAAGCCGGGCGCUAGAGCAGCGGCCGGGCAGGAUGUGCGCCCGCAGCAACCCGGGGCCAGGCUUCCUGAGCCUUCAAGGGGCCUGCAUCUGCCAGCCCUGUGUCCAUUAGUGAAGGAACGAAUGUGAAAAGCCAAUGGCCUGAAGCAGAGCCAACCAGCGCAGGCCUACCAGCUACCCCACCUUCCAGGUUGGCAAAUGACCUGCAGAAUGACUGCACUCAGGGGGGCGCUUCUGCGGUAAGAGGGCAGGUGGAUGGAAGGAGCGAGUGACCUAGAGGAUCUGGCGUGCCAGAC
Molecule: long non-coding RNA, 420 nt
Organism: Herpailurus yagouaroundi (jaguarundi)
Lineage: Eukaryota; Metazoa; Chordata; Mammalia; Carnivora; Felidae
Exons: 3
Source: RefSeq, a predicted model, not a curated record